UACGUAGGGGCCUAGCGUUGUCCGGAUUUAUUGGGCGUAAAGAGCUCGUAGGCGGUUCGGCAAGUCGGAUGUGAAAUCUCCACGCUCAACGUGGAGGGGCCAUUCGAAACUGCUGUGACUUGAGUCCGGUAGGGGGGUGUGGAAUUCCCGGUGUAGCGGUGAAAUGCGCAGAUAUCGGGAGGAACACCAGUGGCGAAGGCGGCAUCCUGGACCGGUAUUGACGCUGAGGCGCGAAAGCCAGGGGAGCAAACGGG
This 254-nucleotide ribosomal RNA is filed under the name uncultured bacterium. RNAcentral describes it as "partial 16S ribosomal RNA". It matches the Rfam family "Bacterial small subunit ribosomal RNA", at positions 524 to 776 of the family's 1533-position model. The record is from RNAcentral.